Molecule: ribosomal RNA, 1884 nt
Filed under: Ensifer adhaerens
Lineage: Bacteria; Pseudomonadati; Pseudomonadota; Alphaproteobacteria; Hyphomicrobiales; Rhizobiaceae
Description: bacterial LSU rRNA
Rfam family: Bacterial large subunit ribosomal RNA
Source: RNAcentral
CCUGCAGGAAAGGACAUCAACCGAGACUCCGCAAGUAGUGGCGAGCGAACGCGGACCAGGCCAGUGGCACUGAGGAAUAAAGUGGAACGACAUGGAAAGGUCGGCCGUAGAGGGUGAUAGCCCCUUACACGUAGAACACUCAGUGUCCUUGAGUAAGGCGGGACACGUGAAAUCCUGUCUGAACAUGGGGAGACCACUCUCCAAGCCUAAGUACUCGUGCAUGACCGAUAGCGAACAAGUACCGUGAGGGAAAGGUGAAAAGCACCCCGACAAGGGGAGUGAAAUAGAACCUGAAACCGGAUGCCUACAAACAGUCGGAGCCCGCAAGGGUGACGGCGUACCUUUUGUAUAAUGGGUCAACGACUUAGUGUGACGAGCAAGCUUAAGCCGAUAGGUGAAGGCGCAGCGAAAGCGAGUCUGAAUAGGGCGUUCAGUUCGUCGCAUUAGACCCGAAACCGAGUGAUCUAGCCAUGAGCAGGUUGAAGGUUGGGUAACACCAACUGGAGGACCGAACCCGCAUCUGUUGCAAUAGAUUGGGAUGACUUGUGGCUAGGGGUGAAAGGCCAAUCAAACUCGGAAAUAGCUGGUUCUCCGCGAAAACUAUUUAGGUAGUGCGUCGACCGAAUACCCUCGGGGGUAGAGCACUGGAUGGGCUAUGGGGACUCACCGUCUUACUGAUCCUAACCAAACUCCGAAUACCGAGGAGUACUAGUCGGCAGACACACGGCGGGUGCUAACGUCCGUCGUGAAGAGGGCAACAACCCUGACCUCCAGCUAAGGUCCCCAAGUCAUGGCUAAGUGGGAAAGGAUGUGAGGAUCCCAAAACAACCAGGAUGUUGGCUUAGAAGCAGCCAUCAUUUAAAGAAAGCGUAACAGCUCACUGGUCUAAUUAAGGGUCUUUGCGCCGAAAAUGUAACGGGGCUAAAGCCAUGCACCGAAGCUGAGGAUACGUCGCAAGACGUGUGGUAGCGGAGCGUUCCGUAAGCCUGUGAAGGGAUACCUGUGAGGGGUCCUGGAGGUAUCGGAAGUGCGAAUGUUGACAUGAGUAACGAUAAAGAGGGUGAGAGACCCUCUCGCCGAAAGACCAAGGGUUCCUGCUUAAAGUUAAUCUGAGCAGGGUUAGCCGGCCCCUAAGACGAGGCGGACACGCGUAGUCGAUGGGAACCACGUUAAUAUUCGUGGGCCUGGUGGUAGUGACGGAUUGCUUAACUUGUACGCUCUUAUUGGAUUGGGUGUGCAGGGACGCGGUUCCAGGAAAUAGCUCCACCGUAUAGACCGUACCCGAAACCGACACAGGUGGUCAGGUAGAGUAUACCAAGGCGCUUGAGAGAACUAUGCUGAAGGAACUCGGCAAAUUGCACGCGUAACUUCGGAAGAAGCGUGACCCUUUUAUACGCAAGUAUGAAAGGGUGGCACAGACCAGGGGGUAGCGACUGUUUAUCAAAAACACAGGGCUCUGCGAAGUCGCAAGACGACGUAUAGGGUCUGACGCCUGCCCGGUGCUGGAAGGUUAAGAGGAGGGGUGCAAGCUCUGAAUCGAAGCCCCAGUAAACGGCGGCCGUAACUAUAACGGUCCUAAGGUAGCGAAAUUCCUUGUCGGGUAAGUUCCGACCUGCACGAAUGGCGUAACGACUUCCCCGCUGUCUCCAGCAUAGACUCAGUGAAAUUGAAUUCCCCGUGAAGAUGCGGGGUUCCUGCGGUCAGACGGAAAGACCCCGUGCACCUUUACUAUAGCUUUACACUGGCAUUCGUGUCGGCAUGUGUAGGAUAGGUGGUAGGCUUUGAAGCAGGGACGCCAGUUCUUGUGGAGCCAUCCUUGAAAUACCACCCUUAUCGUCAUGGAUGUCUAACCGCGGUCCGUUAUCCGGAUCCGGGACAGUGUAU